UACGUAGGGUGCGAGCGUUGUCCGGAAUUAUUGGGCGUAAAGAGCUCGUAGGCGGUGUGUCACGUCGGCCGUGAAAACCUGGGGCUUAACUCUGGGCGUGCGGUCGAUACGGGCAUCACUAGAGUUCGGCAGGGGAGACUGGAAUUCCUGGUGUAGCGGUGAAAUGCGCAGAUAUCAGGAGGAACACCGGUGGCGAAGGCGGGUCUCUGGGCCGAAAUUGACGCUGAGGAGCGAAAGCGUGGGGAGCAAACAGG
This 254-nucleotide ribosomal RNA is filed under the name uncultured bacterium. RNAcentral describes it as "partial 16S ribosomal RNA". It matches the Rfam family "Bacterial small subunit ribosomal RNA", at positions 524 to 776 of the family's 1533-position model. The record is from RNAcentral.